CGCACAUUGCGCCCUUUGGUAUUCUAAAGGGCAUGCCUGUUCGAGCGUCAUUGCAACCCUCAAGCCUUGCUUGGUACUGGGCUCCUCGUCGCCUGCGACGUGCCCGAAAAAGAUUGACGGUUCGGUGGGGACCUUGGGGCGUAGUAAUUUCUUUUUCCGCCCCAGAGGCUCUGCACGUGACCGGUCGGAAGUUUCCAAAUCCGACUUGAAGAUUGACCUCGGAUCAAGCAGGAGUACCCGCUAAACUUAA
Molecule: unclassified non-coding RNA, 250 nt
Filed under: Rinodina sophodes
Lineage: Eukaryota; Fungi; Ascomycota; Lecanoromycetes; Caliciales; Physciaceae
Description: partial contains 5.8S ribosomal RNA, internal transcribed spacer 2, and large subunit ribosomal RNA
Source: RNAcentral